Molecule: ribosomal RNA, 465 nt
Filed under: uncultured eukaryote
Lineage: Eukaryota
Description: SSU rRNA
Rfam family: Eukaryotic small subunit ribosomal RNA
Source: RNAcentral
AAAGCUCGUAGUUGGGUUUCUGGGUGGGAGUGGCCGGUCCGCCGUAAGGUGUGUACUUGGUUGUCUCCCGUCAUCCUUGUGGGAACUGCUCUGGCAUUAAGUUGUCGGGGUUAGGGAACACAUCGUUUACUGUGAAAAAAUUAGAGUGUUUAAAGCAGGCUUAUGCCGUUGAAUACAUUAGCAUGGAAUAAUAAGAUAGGACUUUGGCGUCUAUUUUGUUGGUUUGCACACCAAGGUAAUGAUUAAUAGGGAUAGUUGGGGGUAUUCGUAUUUAAUUGUCAGAGGUGAAAUUCUCGGAUUUAUGAAAGACGAACUUCUGCGAAAGCAUUUACCAAAGAUGUUUUCAUUAAUCAAGAACGAAAGUUAGGGGAUCGAAGAUGAUUAGAUACCAUCGUAGUCUUAACCAUAAACUAUGCCGACUAGGGAUUGGCGGUCGUUCAUUUAUGACUCCGUCAGCACCUUAUG